CGGCGGCCUCUUCUUCCCAGCUCUCCGCCGUUUCCUUCUUUCUUCAGAGAGCAGCGAUGGGAGCGGGCGAUAAGAAAGAGAAGACGAAGGGCAAGAAGGAGGAGACGGAGGCUCACGGCUUGAAGCGCGAGGAGGCCGAGGUGCAAGCGAAGGAAGGAGCACCUCGCCUGUUGAUUCCGGCUCCGAUUACGAGUUCUUGGCUUUAGCUUUUCCUCCGUGGCUCUUGUCCGUGUCGAUUCGCCUCCUCGAGAUCGAUUGAUGCGUUGUGCGUGUAGUAGGAUUUCUCUGAGGAUGGAAAUUCUGAAGAUAGGACUUGGAAUCUGGAGAAAGUGACUCACAAGAGCACGAGGCGCAAGAUACAUGAUGAGAACAAUGAUGAGGUAGUAGAGCUGACAGAAGAUGAAACGAGACUUAUUCGUGGACUACCCAAAGGAAGAGCACCGCAUGCUGGAUUUGAUCCAUAUCCGGAUUAUGUUGACUCUUUAAAAUGGGAUGACGUGAAACGCCCACUAUCAAAUGCCCCAGAACCAAAGAGAUGUUUCACUCCUUCAAAAUGGGAGGCCAAAAAGAUCAGUCUUUUCAGCAUUUCCCUAUUUGGAUGACAAUAUGGGAUGAAGUCAGUAUUCUUUUAGUUCUCAUACCUUUCGGGCUGAGCUGGUAACAAUGAUGCAGCGUUUUUACUUUUGGUUCCUCAAACGCAUAUAAGAUCCUGUACUGGGGUGUUAUCCUGAUGGCUUCUAGUCUUGAUGCGGUUGGCUUCAAACUGUGCUUACUAAUUGCAGCUUACUAUUUCUAAU
Eucalyptus grandis is the source of this 797-nucleotide long non-coding RNA. RefSeq lists it as uncharacterized. The transcript is spliced from 3 exons. Lineage: Eukaryota; Viridiplantae; Streptophyta; Magnoliopsida; Myrtales; Myrtaceae. The record is from RefSeq and is a predicted model, not a curated record.